GUCCAGACUCCUACGGGAGGCAGCAGUGGGGGAUAUUGCACAAUGGGGGGAACCCUGAUGCAGCGACGCCGCGUGGGUGAAGGAGUGCUUCGGCAUGUAAAGCCCUAUCGGCAGGGAAGAAGCAAGACGGUACCUGACUAAGAAGCCCCGGCUAACUACGUGCCAGCAGCCGCGGGAAUACGUAGGGGGCGAGCGUUAUCCGGAUUCACUGGGUGUAAAGGGAGCGUAGACGGCCAUGCAAGCCAGGGGUGAAAGCCCGGGGCCCAACCCCGGGACUGCCCUUGGAACUGCAUGGCUGGAGUGCGGGAGGGGCAGGCGGAAUUCCUGGUGUAGCGGUGAAAUGCAUAGAUAUCACGAAGAACUCCGAUUGCGAAGGCAGCAUACCGGCUCCAUACUGACGCUGAGGCACGAAAGCGUGGGGAUCGAACAGGAUUAGAUACCCGGGUA
Molecule: ribosomal RNA, 447 nt
Filed under: uncultured bacterium
Lineage: Bacteria
Description: bacterial SSU rRNA
Rfam family: Bacterial small subunit ribosomal RNA
Source: RNAcentral